RNAcentral lists this ribosomal RNA (251 nucleotides) under uncultured prokaryote. RNAcentral's name for it is "partial 16S rRNA". It matches the Rfam family "Bacterial small subunit ribosomal RNA", at positions 525 to 775 of the family's 1533-position model. The record is from RNAcentral.
ACGAGUGGUGCAAGCGUUAUUCGGAAUAAUUGGGCGUUCAGGGCGGGUAGGUGGUAUGUUAAGACUGUUGUAAAAGACUCUAGCCUAACUGGAGAAAGGCAAUGGAAACAGGUGUACUAGAGUGUGGAAGAGAGAAAUGGAAUUCUCGUUGUAGCGGUAGUAAGAGUAGAUCUCGCGAGGAACGCCGAUGGCGAAGGCAGCUUAUUAGUCCAUACCUGACUCUUAUGCGCGAAAGCGAGGGAAGCAAAUAG